CGGCAGCGCGGGCUUCGGCCUGGUGGCUGAGUUUCCGGGCGAAAGCGGGUGAGUAAUACAAUCGGAACAUGGUCCUGUAGUGGGGGAUUAGCCCGGCGAAAGUCCGGAUUAAUUCCGCAUACGAUCUGAGGAUGAAAGCGGGGGACCUUUCGGGCCUCGCGCUAUAGGGUUGGCCGAUGGCUGAUUAGCUAGUUGGUGGGGUAAAGGCCUACCAAGGCGACGAUCAGUAGCUGGUCUGAGAGGACGACCAGCCCCCCUGGGGAUGAGACCCGGCCCCAGACUCCUACCGGGAGGCAGCAUGUGGGGGAUUUUUGGACAAUGGGGCGCCAGCCCUGAUCCAGCAAAUGCCCGCGUGUGUGAAAGAAAGGCCUUCCGGGUUUGUAAAAGCACUU
Molecule: ribosomal RNA, 392 nt
Filed under: Burkholderia pseudomallei
Lineage: Bacteria; Pseudomonadati; Pseudomonadota; Betaproteobacteria; Burkholderiales; Burkholderiaceae
Description: bacterial SSU rRNA
Rfam family: Bacterial small subunit ribosomal RNA
Source: RNAcentral